Molecule: ribosomal RNA, 245 nt
Filed under: uncultured bacterium
Lineage: Bacteria
Description: partial 16S ribosomal RNA
Rfam family: Bacterial small subunit ribosomal RNA
Source: RNAcentral
UACGAAGGGUGCUAGCGUUGUUCGGAAUCACUGGGCGUAAAGCGCGCGUAGGCGGCCAUUCAAGUCAGGGGUGAAAUCCUUGGGCUCAACCCAAGAAUUGCCUUUGAAACUGUAUGGCUAGAGUGUCGGAGGGGAUAGCGGAAUUGCUAAUGUAGAGGUGAAAUUCGUAGAUAUUAGCAGGAACACCGGUGGCGAAGGCGGCUAUCUGGACGACAACUGACGCUGAGGCGCGAAAGCGCGGGGAU